GACGAACGCUGGCGGCGCGCCUAACACAUACAAGUCGAACGGAGCUGAGAGAAGCUUGCUUUUCUUAGCUUAGUGGCGAACGGGUGAGUAACGCGUGAGUAACCUGCCCUGGAGUGGGGGACAACAGUUGGAAACGACUGCUAAUACCGCAUAAGCCCACGAUCCGGCAUCGGAUUGAGGGAAAAGGAUUUAUUCGCUUCAGGAUGGACUCGCGUCCAAUUAGCUAGUUGGUGAGGUAACGGCCCACCAAGGCGACGAUUGGUAGCCGGACUGAGAGGUUGAACGGCCACAUUGGGACUGAGACACGGCCCAGACUCCUACGGGAGGCAGCAGUGGGGGAUAUUGCACAAUGGGGGAAACCCUGAUGCAGCGACGCCGCGUGGAGGAAGAAGGUUUUCGGAUUGUAAACUCCUGUCGUUAGGGACGAUAAUGACGGUACCUAACAAGAAAGCACCGGCUAACUACGUG
RNAcentral lists this ribosomal RNA (468 nucleotides) under uncultured bacterium. Its description in RNAcentral is "partial 16S ribosomal RNA". It matches the Rfam family "Bacterial small subunit ribosomal RNA", at positions 28 to 507 of the family's 1533-position model. The record is from RNAcentral.